AUAACCAUUGGAAACGAUGGCUAAUACCGCAUAAUAGCUUCGGCUCAAAGAGGGGGACCUUCGGGCCUCUCGCGUCAGGAUAUGCCUAGGUGGGAUUAGCUAGUUGGUGAGGUAAGGGCUCACCAAGGCGACGAUCCCUAGCUGGUCUGAGAGGAUGAUCAGCCACACUGGAACUGAGACACGGUCCAGACUCCUACGGGAGGCAGCAGUGGGGAAUAUUGCACAAUGGGCGCAAGCCUGAUGCAGCCAUGCCGCGUGUAUGAAGAAGGCCUUCGGGUUGUAAAGUACUUUCAGCAGUGAGGAAGGUGGUAGUGUUAAUAGCACUAUUAUUUGACGUUAGCUGCAGAAGAAGCACCGGCUAACUCCGUGCCAGCAGCCGCGGUAAUACGGAGGGUGCGAGCGUUAAUCGGAAUUACUGGGCGUAAAGCGCAUGCAGGUGGAUGAUUAAGUCAGAUGUGAAAGCCCGGGGCUCAACCUCGGAAUNGCAUUUGAAACUGGUUAUCUAGAGUACUGUAGAGGGGGGUAGAAUUUCAGGUGUAGCGGUGAAAUGCGUAGAGAUCUGAAGGAAUACCGGUGGCGAAGGCGGCCCCCUGGACAGAUACUGACACUCAGAUG
Molecule: ribosomal RNA, 615 nt
Filed under: uncultured Vibrio sp.
Lineage: Bacteria; Pseudomonadati; Pseudomonadota; Gammaproteobacteria; Vibrionales; Vibrionaceae
Description: bacterial SSU rRNA
Rfam family: Bacterial small subunit ribosomal RNA
Source: RNAcentral